Molecule: ribosomal RNA, 439 nt
Filed under: uncultured bacterium
Lineage: Bacteria
Description: partial 16S ribosomal RNA
Rfam family: Bacterial small subunit ribosomal RNA
Source: RNAcentral
CUACGGGUGGCUGCAGUGGGGAAUAUUGGACAAUGGGGGGAACCCUGAUGCAGCAACGCCGCGUGGAGGAUGACGCAUUUCGGUGUGUAAACUCCUUUUAUAUGUCAAGAAAAUGACGGUAGCAUAUGAAUAAGCACCGGCUAACUCCGUGCCAGCAGCCGCGGUAAUACGGAGGGUGCAGGCGUUACUCGGAAUCACUGGGCGUAAAGGACGCGUAGGCGGGUUGGAAAGUCAGGUGUGAAAUCCUACAGCUUAACUGUAGAACUGCACUUGAAACUUCUAAUCUAGAGUAUGGGAGGGGGAGAUGGAAUUAGUGGUGUAGGGGUAAAAUCCGUAGAUAUCACUAGGAAUACCUAAAGCGAAGGCGAUCUCCUGGAACAUUACUGACGCUAAGGCGUGAAAGCGUGGGGAGCAAACAGGAUUAGAUACCCUGGUAGUC